UAAUGUCUGGGAAACUGCCUGAUGGAGGGGGAUAACUACUGGGAACGGUAGCUAAUACCGCAUAAUGUCGCAAGACCAAAGUGGGGGACCUUCGGGCCUCAUGCCAUCAGAUGUGCCCAGAUGGGAUUAGCUAGUAGGUGGGGUAACGGCUCACCUAGGCGACGAUCCCUAGCUGGUCUGAGAGGAUGACCAGCCACACUGGAACUGAGACACGGUCCAG
This 220-nucleotide ribosomal RNA is filed under the name uncultured bacterium. RNAcentral's name for it is "partial 16S ribosomal RNA". It matches the Rfam family "Bacterial small subunit ribosomal RNA", at positions 111 to 334 of the family's 1533-position model. The record is from RNAcentral.